Serinus canaria (Common canary) is the source of this 892-nucleotide long non-coding RNA. RefSeq lists it as uncharacterized. The transcript is spliced from 3 exons. The record is from RefSeq and is a predicted model, not a curated record. NCBI's taxonomy places the organism in Eukaryota, Metazoa, Chordata, Aves, Passeriformes, Fringillidae.
AGCUCUUCCACAGUGAAUUCAAUCCAUUAGGAUGUGGAGCAGUUGGAUAUGGAGUGAUUGGGAUCCCAAAAAUCAGAGCUGGAUCUGGCAGGAACAGCCUUGGAACAGGACUUGUCCUCUCAGGGAAUUGUGUCAAUAAUUAUCAUGGAAUCAUGGAAUGGAGCUGGAAGUGACCUAAAGGAUCAUCAAGUCCUGCACAGGACAACCCCAAAAUCCCACCAUGUGCCUGAGGGCGUUGUCCAAACACUCCAAGGAUAUUCCUGCACCUCAGGAAGGAAGUCGUCGGAGUGGUCCAACUGGCAGGUCAGCGAAACAUGGCGCAGCUGGAGGCUGCCCUGACAGAAUUAUGGAUUGCAGAUGUUGCCUGGGAGCUGCUGGGAUUCUGAGCAGGGCCAGGAGUCCCUGGGGUGGCUGUGGAGCUGCUUCCCGAGCCUUGGGGAAGAGGGGCUGGUUUUCCACUCCAAAUGAACUUUUAACCCUUUGGGGUUUGCUCUGUGUUUAACCUGUGGGGUUUGCUCUGGAGACAGGUGACAGAGAGCAGGAAAGGCAAAGGAGAUCCAGAUCCUGCUCCCUCUCUUCUCAGCAGGGAUUUCCCCAUGGAAAGGGCGGUCAGGGAUUGGCACUGCCCAGGCAGGUUGGAGUCCCCAUCCCUGGAAGUGCCCAAGGAAUGGCUGGACGUGGCACCGGUGACAAGGUGGGGAUCAGGGCCAGCUGGGACCCGGUGACCUUGGAGGGCUUUUCCAACCUCAGUGAUCUGGGAUUCUCCACGCACACGUGGGGAGUCCCACAGAAACGUGGCUUCAGGGCUUGGACAUCCCCCCCCAGCAGGGGUGGCACCUCAGAAUUUGGUGUCAGCAGACAUCCUAAGCCAUCAGGGACUGCAGGAGGCCAA